This 398-nucleotide unclassified non-coding RNA is filed under the name uncultured fungus. RNAcentral describes it as "sequence contains ITS1". The stretch from base 1 to 105 matches the Rfam family "5.8S ribosomal RNA", at positions 50 to 154 of the family's 154-position model. The record is from RNAcentral. Lineage: Eukaryota; Fungi.
GAAAUGCGAUACUUGGUGUGAAUUGCAGAAUUCAGUGAAUCAUCGAAUCUUUGAACGCAUAUUGCGCUCUUUGGUAUUCCGAAGAGCAUGCUUGUUUGAGUAUCAGUAAACACCUCAAAGCUUUUGGAUUUUUUUUUUGAAAGCUUUGGACUUGAGCAAUCCCAACACCAAUCUUUUUCAGAUCGGCGGCGGGUUGCUUGAAAUGCAGGUGCAGCUGGACUUUCUCCUGAGCUAAAAGCAUAUUCAUUUAGUCCCAUCAAACGGAUUAUUAUUUUUGCUGCAGCUAACAUAAAGGGAGUUUGACCGCAUUGGCUGACUGAUGCAGGAUUUCACAAGGGUCGGCAACGAUUCUUGUUAAACUCGAUCUCAAAUCAAGUAAGACUACCCGCUGAACUUAA